Molecule: ribosomal RNA, 251 nt
Filed under: uncultured bacterium
Lineage: Bacteria
Description: partial 16S ribosomal RNA
Rfam family: Bacterial small subunit ribosomal RNA
Source: RNAcentral
GCAAGUCGAGGGUGAAAUUUGGUGCUUGCACUAAAUGGAAACCGGCGAACGGGUGCGUAACACGUAUGCAAUCUACCUAUAACUAAGGGAUAGCCCAGAGAAAUUUGGAUUAAUACCUUAUAACAUUAUUCAUUCGCAUGUUUGAAUAAUUAAAGCUCCGGCGGUUAUAGAUGAGCAUGCGGCCCAUUAGCUUGUUGGUGAGGUAACGGCUCACCAAGGCUACGAUGGGUAGGGGGUCUGAGAGGAUGAUC